GCUAGUAAUCGCGAAUCAGAAUGUCGCGGUGAAUACGUUCCCGGGCCUUGUACACACCGCCCGUCACACCAUGAGAGUCGAUAACACCCGAAGCCUGUGAGCUAACCUUUUAGGAGGCAGCAGUCGAAGGUGGGGUUGAUGAUUGGGGUGAAGUCGUAACAAGGUAGC
Molecule: ribosomal RNA, 168 nt
Filed under: uncultured bacterium
Lineage: Bacteria
Description: partial 16S ribosomal RNA
Rfam family: Bacterial small subunit ribosomal RNA
Source: RNAcentral